ACGAACGCUGGCGGCGCGCCUAACACCUGCAAGUCGCACGAGCGAGAGAGAGCUUGCUUUCUCGAGCGAGUGGCGAACGGGUGAGUAACGCGUGAGGAACCUGCCUCAAAGAGGGGGACAACAGUUGGAAACGACUGCUAAUACCGCAUAAGCCCACGGCUCGGCAUCGAGCAGGGGGAAAAGGAGCAAUCCGCUUUGAGAUGGCCUCGCGUCCGAUUAGCUAGUUGGUGAGGUAACGGCCCACCAAGGCGACGAUCGGUAGCCGGACUGAGAGGUUGAACGGCCACAUUGGGACUGAGACACGGGCCAGACUCCUACGGGAGGCAGCAGUGGGGAAUAUUGCACAAUGGGGGAAACCCUGAUGCAGCGACGCCGCGUGGAGGAAGAAGGUCUUCGGAUUGUAAACUCCUGUUGUUGGGGAAGAUAAUGACGGUACCCAACAAGGAAGUGACGGCUAACUACGUG
RNAcentral lists this ribosomal RNA (465 nucleotides) under uncultured bacterium. Its description in RNAcentral is "partial 16S ribosomal RNA". It matches the Rfam family "Bacterial small subunit ribosomal RNA", at positions 29 to 507 of the family's 1533-position model. The record is from RNAcentral.